RNAcentral lists this ribosomal RNA (604 nucleotides) under uncultured bacterium. RNAcentral's name for it is "bacterial SSU rRNA". It matches the Rfam family "Bacterial small subunit ribosomal RNA", at positions 915 to 1519 of the family's 1533-position model. The record is from RNAcentral.
GGGGGCCCGCACAAGCGGUGGAGCAUGUGGUUUAAUUCGAAGCAACGCGAAGAACCUUACCAGGUCUUGACAUCCUUUGACCACUCUAGAGAUAGAGCUUUCCCUUCGGGGACAAAGUGACAGGUGGUGCAUGGUUGUCGUCAGCUCGUGUCGUGAGAUGUUGGGUUAAGUCCCGCAACGAGCGCAACCCUUAUUGUUAGUUGCCAUCAUUUAGUUGGGCACUCUAGCGAGACUGCCGGUGACAAACCGGAGGAAGGUGGGGAUGACGUCAAAUCAUCAUGCCCCUUAUGACCUGGGCUACACACGUGCUACAAUGGGAAGUACAACGAGUCGCUAGACCGCGAGGUCAUGCAAAUCUCUUAAAGCUUCUCUCAGUUCGGAUUGCAGGCUGCAACUCGCCUGCAUGAAGCCGGAAUCGCUAGUAAUCGCGGAUCAGCACGCCGCGGUGAAUACGUUCCCGGGCCUUGUACACACCGCCCGUCAUACCACGAGAGUUUGUAACACCCGAAGUCGGUGAGGUAACCUUUUUGGAGCCAGCCGCCUAAGGUGGGAUAGAUGAUUGGGGUGAAGUCGUAACAAGGUAACCAAGGGCGAAUUCGCGGCC